AAUAAGGUGCUUACUCGCGCUUGUGUUCGUUGCGUGCUGCGCGUAUAUUGCUCGAUGUGGAGAUUUGUCUUCUGAAAAGGGAUGGAAUCCAUAUAUGAAAUUUUUAUCCUUACGAGUUGCUUGAAGCUUCUGCUGAUUCCAGCAUAUCGAAGCACAGACUUCGAGGUCCACCGUAAUUGGCUGGCCAUAACCCAUUCAGUGCCGGUGCGGGAGUGGUAUACAGAGAAUACCUCCGAAUGGACGCUGGACUACCCGCCUCUCUUCGCCUGGUUCGAAUUUCUUCUGUCUCAGCUGGCCGUCUUCUUCGA
Long non-coding RNA from Pollicipes pollicipes, 308 nucleotides. RefSeq lists it as uncharacterized. The record is from RefSeq and is a predicted model, not a curated record. NCBI's taxonomy places the organism in Eukaryota, Metazoa, Arthropoda, Thecostraca, Pollicipedomorpha, Pollicipedidae. The transcript is spliced from 3 exons.